GACAGACGCUGGCGGCGUGCUUAACACAUGCAAGUCGAACGGAGCGAUUUAUUUCGGUAAAUCGCUUAGUGGCAAACGGGUGAGUAACGCGUAGGCAACCUGCCCUCAGGAUGGGGACAACGGCUCGAAAGAGCCGCUAAUACCGAAUGACGUACCUUUUUCACAUGGAAGAGAUACUAAAGAUGGGUCAAACCAUCGCCUGAGGAUGGGCCUGCGUCUGAUUAGCCAGUUGGUGAGGUAACGGCUCACCAAAGCAACGAUCAGUAGCCGGUCUGAGAGGAUGAACGGCCACAAUGGGACUGAGACACGGCCCAUACUCCUACGGGAGGCAGCAGUGGGGAAUCUUCCGCAAUGGGCGCAAGCCUGACGGAGCAACGCCGCGUGAGUGAAGAAGGUCUUCGGAUCGUAAAGCUCUGUUGUCGGGGACGAAAGGAAAGGGGAGGCAAUGCCCCUUUUAAGACGGUACCCGACGAGGAAGCCACGGCUAACUACGUGCCAGCAGCCGCGGUAAUACGUAGGCGGCAAGCGUUGUCCGGAAUUAUUGGGCGUAAAGGGAGCGCAGGUGGGACGGUAAGUCUGUCUUAAAAGGCAAGGGCUCAGACCCCUGUAAGGGACAGAAACUAUCGUUCUUGAGUGCCGGAGAGGAAAGCGGAAUUCCCAGUGUAGCGGUGAAAUGCGUAGAUAUUGGGAAGAACACCAGUGGCGAAGGCGGCUUUCUGGACGGCAACUGACACUGAGGCUCGAAAGCCAGGGUAGCGAACGGGAUUAGAUACCCCGGUAGUCCUGGCCGUAAACGAUGGAUACUAGGUGUAGGGGGUAUCGACCCCUCCUGUGCCGGAGUUAACGCAAUAAGUAUCCCGCCUGGGGAGUAAUGUCGCAAGACUGAAACUCAAAGGAAUUGACGGGGGCCCGCACAAGCGGUGGAGUAUGUGGUUUAAUACGACGCAACGCGAAGAACCUUACCAUGGCUGACAUUGAGUGAAAGGGCAGAGAUGUCCCUAUCUCGGAUACGCAGGACAGUGUGCAUGCUGUCGUCAGCUGAUGUCUGAGAUGUCCGGUUAGUCCGCCACGAGCCCAGCCCUAUAUUCUG
This 1090-nucleotide ribosomal RNA is filed under the name Veillonellaceae bacterium oral taxon 145. RNAcentral's name for it is "bacterial SSU rRNA". It matches the Rfam family "Bacterial small subunit ribosomal RNA", at positions 28 to 1113 of the family's 1533-position model. The record is from RNAcentral. Lineage: Bacteria; Bacillati; Bacillota; Negativicutes; Veillonellales; Veillonellaceae.